AGCGAACGCUGGCGGCAGGCUUAACACAUGCAAGUCGAGCGGACCUUCCGGGGGCACCUGCGGACGGGGGAGGAGCGCGUGGGAACGGGCCUUCCGGUUCCGAAUAACCCUGUGAAACGAGGGCUAAUGCCGGAUACGCCCUGCUGGGGAAAGGUUUACUCUCGGAGGAUCAGCCCGCGUCUGUUUAGCCUGUUGCGGGUGUAACGGCCUAUCAAGGCGACGAUCGUUAGCUGGGCUGAGAGGAUGAUCAGCGACACUGGGACUGAGACACGGCCGAGAAUAUUAGGGGAGGCAGCAGUGGCGAAUAUUGGCAAACGGGCGCAAGGCUGAUCCAGCCAUGCCGGGUGAGUGAUGAAGGCGUUAGGGUUGUACAGCUCUUUUAUCCGGGACGAUACUGACGGUACCGGAGGAAUAAGCCCCGGCUAACUUCGUG
This 433-nucleotide ribosomal RNA is filed under the name uncultured bacterium. Its description in RNAcentral is "partial 16S ribosomal RNA". It matches the Rfam family "Bacterial small subunit ribosomal RNA", at positions 28 to 507 of the family's 1533-position model. The record is from RNAcentral.